This is a long non-coding RNA of Symphalangus syndactylus (siamang), 15558 nucleotides long. RefSeq lists it as uncharacterized. The record is from RefSeq and is a predicted model, not a curated record. Lineage: Eukaryota; Metazoa; Chordata; Mammalia; Primates; Hylobatidae.
GGGCUGUAAUUUAGUUCAAUUCAGAACUGCAGAUAGUACAGCUUCCACAGGAGCAAGGGAUGUCUGAGCACAAGUGGCUGAGUUCCGAGUGACUUUAUGAGGCACUUUCUACCUUCCUCUCCGGCAUGAAAACAGUGAUUCUGCACCUGCAUCAUGGACAGUCUGGCAAAAGCCUCUGCUCUGCCUCCGGGGACAAGAAACUAGAGCAAAUAACCAUUUUGAAAUUAGAUCCUGGCAAAAUUACCAACAAUCAGUGAUGGAAACUGAAGGGAGAUUGAUUUAAAUCUUCAAUGACAGUUGUACAGAAGUUGAAGAAACAUGUCAUCUUUCCAAAGAAGAGUGAGUAGCUUGGUUGGUGGUACCCUAAAAUUAGGGCAUGAUUAAGGUACGUCAUUUCUUUUAGUUCAAUCAAAGUGCUUUGCUGUUUCCAUUGCGGAGAAUUUCUUCUUCUUUUUUUCAAUCUCUCUCUCUCUUCCUCUUCUUCCUCUCAUUAGUAGAUGUCUUUUAUAAUUGAUGUCGUUUACUGUCCUUUCAUCAAAUGUAUGCCACAUCACUUAGGCGAACCAGCAGACAGGGCACCAAAAUACACAUUAGAGGAGACUAGCUUCCAUGAGACGCUUCGACUGUCUCAUCAGGGCACUUGUAAUAAGCGUCUUGGUGCCACUGAAUGCAAUGCUGUAUUCAAAUAAUAGCUUUCAUCUUCACCCUUUUUAAAUAUAAAAGUAAACCUUGAAGCCCUUUGAAGGACCUAACCAAACAACAUACCUAUGAAAAUAGAUCAGUAAGGCUUUGAGAAACAUUCUCAAGUAAAAUCUGUAAAGCAUCUUUGCAUUUUUUUUUUCAAGAAAGACCUCCAGGUAAAUGACGGCUUUUAAUAAGACACAUGACAAUCUCAAUUACAAGAAUCAUUAGUGUGUGUCCUGUGUGCCAUUUUAUGCUCCCAGCAGGAUAUAUCUUUUCUCAUCUAGGGUUUCCAGGGCUGUCUACUGUUCUCUAUGUGUAAAACAUAUUUAAGUGUUCCCUCAAUGCUGCACUAAUGUUGAAACAAAACAAAACAAAAACGAAAAAACCUUUGUCAAGUGGUCAGACAGACUGGAACUAGAGGAUUAUAGGUAAGAGAGAUAAAAUGAAGGGUUGAAACCUGUAAUUUCUAUUUAUGUGGUGGCAACCAAAUCAGCUGUUGGAGUCAGGCAAUUUAAAGAUGUGUCUACUGGCGCUCAGAGUCUGGGAAGAAGACACUUCUGCGUCUGACAGUGAAUCAGGCCCUCAGUUUUGAAGAUGUGCUGUAGGUGAUUCCUCGCUGAAUCCAUUUCCCAGUUAGUUUCUAUUCCCCGCCCCGUUCCUGUGUCCCCACACUUUCCACUUGAUUUUAUCUCUGACAAUUCUAUAUUUUACUUUCCUUCUUCUCAUUCCCCUUUUCCCACCCCCUUUUUUUACUGUAAUUUCUUGGCCUCUGACUACUGUUCCAUGCUGGAUGUCCCCAGAAAAUAUAGUAUGUUUAGAAAGGAGACAAUGCAUCUCAGAAGGGCCUCCCCAGUCCACUAGUUCAUUUUUGAAUGUGUUGUGGUCUAUGGGUGUCAGGAAUAUUUGUAGAUGAAGUAAUUUGAGGCAUGAAUUUUGAUAGAAGCAGGAUCACCAAUAAAAUGAUAAAUGUAGGUACCUGUCUACCUUGCAUAAUAUUCACUAUGAUCUUGAGAAUUUCAAUGUAUAAUUUGUCUUUAUUCUUAUUUUUCAUUAAAAUUAACAGAAUCUCAGAGCUGGUAGAAAGUAUAGAAACUGUAUAUACAACUCUCAUAUUCAGAUGAAGAAAAUGAUGCACAAAAAAUCAACUGUCCUAAGCCAUUCAGCUUGUCUAUAAGUGCUGUUGGCUUAAUUAUAGUUUUCUAUACUUUUUGCAUAUAUUUAGGCAAAGAAAAUACUUUCUCAGAAACUGGUUAGAACUGUUUGAGAAGAAAUAUAAUCAUCAAAAUAUACACACAGUAAAAUGUAACUGUCCAUCAUUCAACAUAGGCAAGAAUAUGUAUUGAAUUGCCUGAGUGUAUUAUGCAUAUAGCAAAACUUACUUGAAUUGCUAAUAAAUCUUCUGACCUCUGUAUAUGUAUAAAAUAUAUAAACCAAUCAAAUUCUGUAUAUAAAUAAAUUUAUUUCUGGAUACCAGUACAAUCCCCAUUUCACUUUUGUGUAUUCCAGUUAUUUAUUACUCACAGUUCUGUAUUUUAACCAGAACAAAGGGAUUACCCAGAAGAAAAGAAGGUAAGCUAUUUCAUCAGUUUUGUUGGAAAUCAGAAGUUUUUUUUCUAUUAUUAGCUUUGUAUUCUUAAAAAAGAAAAAAGAAGGAGGAAAAAAAAUCUCAUCUUCUCAUUUAUAAGAAUUCCCGUAAAAAUUGGCAGUGGUGAGGUGGGGAGCAAAUGCAUUACCAAUAAAGAGCUAGACCUAUUAUUGGAGACGAUCAGUUUUAUUCUACAGAAAAUAUAGUUUGUUCUUGAAGAUGUAAUAGACGUAAUAUUUUUUAAAGCAACAUAUUAAAUAUACCAGUAAAUAUUUUUGUUAAACAAGGCUUUUAAAAUUUAAAUUAUAUCCCUAACCUGGCUUUCUAGUUUUUCUAGAGAAAUAAAGCAAUUUUAAAGGAAAUAUCCAUUCAGAUUAAUGCUGCAAAUAUCAUACCAAAAUGUGUGUGGUGAUAUUACUGAAAAUGAGGAUUUUUGAAAACUAAAAAAGCAAAAAGUCAUUGCUCCAAAAGGCUUCAAGGCUGCCUUAGGAUUAACAAUGCAAGUCUUCAAUGCAUUUAGGUAAUCAUAAUUUGAUUAGCUUUCUAAUUCUAAACAUAUUUUGAUUCAAAUGUUUAAAAUAUGGUCAUCUCUUCAGUUAAAGAUGAACAUUUUGAUGAAAUAACAAUACUGAAAGGGUUCUCCGUCUCCACGAUUAAGUGCUACCUGUUAUUUAUUCAGAGCAUAUGUUUCAGUCUCAAAACACUGAGGACACAUCUCAGUGAAAAAAAAAAAUCAUUUUUUUUAAGAAAUCAGAAUCAUGUGGCAGUCGGCAGGCUAAAUUUGUAUUUUAUGGGCUCCAAAUUCAGAUGAAUAUCGUCAAGAUCUGAAUUGUCUCAAUGGCUGUCAUAAUUUAAAUAAUAAUAUAUCAAAAAUAUACACUGCUGUCUUAUAAUUAAUUUGUAUAUAUGGAAAAUUGAAUUUUCUUAGCCAAAAAAGUACAGGGAAAUCAUCACAAAGGAGGAUGAACAUGAUUAUUUUUACCUGUUACUUCUAUAGACUUCUCUGUAACAAUUGAUAUGAAGAUAUCAUCAGAAUUUGUAGGUGUGCAGUAUCCGUGGUAUUAAUAAAGGUAUCUAUAAUCAAAUAUAGCAGAAAUAAUUAGGCUUCUCGCCAACUGCCUUUCCUAGAAUCUUCAGGGACAGGAAGUGCAGCUGUGUAUCACCUGCCCAUAUUCUACAAAUAGCACUGAAGGAUAUAACUCAAUGAAACUUGAAAUCAGAUUGCACAAAAAUACAUUAUUCCCAAUUUUCUAUUUUUAUAUUGCUAGAUAAAUUGUAAAUUCACAGCAACAUUUGUCUAUUGUUAUCUUUAUGUUGCAAAAUUAUACUAAAUUUUGAGUGACAUCUUUAGCCAGGGGAGCCUAGAAACAUCCUUUGGCUAAAAAAUAAAAAGAUUAUAAUGUACACUAGAGAAAACAUUUCUAGAAAAUAUGCCUUUCACUGUGCCUUUAAAAACUAAGAUUUUUUUAAAGGCACAGUGAAAGGUAUAUUUUGAUCAACAGCUUAUAUUGUUUAGAAAUUUGGCUGUGGUUUCAUAUUUUGUCAACUAAUUUUCAAUCACAAAGAAAAUUUAGAAAGAGAUGAAAUAGAAAUAAAAGUCUUAUUAGGAAUAGUAAUUAUAUAGAUAGUGAAAUGACUACUUUUUUAUAAGGAGCAGUAAUUUCAUAAUGUAAUAACUUCCUUUUCAGUAAAAGAAAGUGAUUAACAAAGCUAAACAGUCACACAAGGCAAUGUACCACAUAAUUCAAAAUGCCAGUGCAAAAAUGUUAGUUAAUAAAUAAAGAUUCAAUGCUUGUCUGUAAUAAUUAGUCAUAGUUUCUGCACUUAGAAGGAAAGCUCUCCCCAGGAGUUGAGAAUUAGAGUGGAAGUGGAGAUUUUGAGUAUGAGAAAAGCGAAUUUCGCUCAUGUUGCAGGGUUACACUGCUAUGAUGGAAGGCUUUCAUUUUUCAAGUAGGAAACAUGGAAAUUACAGUAACUAUGGCCAAUUUAUAUUGGCCUAGAGAACACUUUAUUUUUCUCUGGGCCCCAAUUUCUCAACAGGUGCCGCUAUUGAUAUUUUGGUACAGAUAGUUCUUUGUCCUGAAGAAAUUUGCUGUGUAUUGGAGGAUUUUUAUCAGCAUUAUUGACCUCUCCCCAGUAGAUGCCAAUAGUAUCCCCUCCCACUAUGGUGUGUGUGUGUGUGUGUGUGUGUGUGUGUGUGUGUGUUUUGGUGGAAAUAAAUUGAAAAGAAAGGAAAAAAUAAUAGUCACAUGGAAGCUUAGGAGACAAGUCAAUAAAAGAGAAAUAUCUAGGUAGUAUGAAAUCUGAAGCUUUACACAAUAGAAAAAAGUACAUUAUAUGGAAUUGAUCCAUCAUUGUUUCAAAAAUGGUGAAAGUUGUUAAACCAGUAACUUUUAGCUUAGUUUAUCUGUAAAAAAAAAAAAAAAAAAAAAAAAAAAGCUACAUGAACAAUUCAAGAUUUAUUAAAUGUUGAAGAUUUCCCUUCAGUAUAAAUUUAUAAAUAUCUAAUUAGUGUGUGUGUUUGUGUAUGUGGCUUCUUCAUUUAGCACCUGGGACGACUUACCUAAUUUGCCCUUCAUUCUUUAUGACUUUCAUGGAUAAUUUCCCAAAGCUCCUGAGGAUUAUUUAUUUAUUUAUUUAUUUUUGGGACUGGUUCUCGCUCUGUUGCCCAGGCUGGAGUGCAGUGCCGUGAUUAUGGCUCUUUGCAGCCUCAACCUCCCCUACUCAGGUGAUCCUCCUACCUCAGCCUCCAGAGUAGGUGGAACCACAGGUGUGUGCCACCACAUCCAGCUAUUUUUUAAAAAAAUUAUUUGUAGAGAUGAAAUCCUCCUGUAUUGUUCAGGCUGGUCUUGGUAUCCUGAACUCAAGUGAUCCUCCCAGUUUGGCCUCCAAAAGUGUUGGCAUUACAGGCAUGAGCCACUUCACCUCACCAGGUCACUUACUUUGAAACCCUCUACUAGGUGAUACGAAGGCCCCAAAAUUUAAAUAUACCAAUAUUUCUCUUUUAUUAUAUUUUUAAAUUUUCAGAUUUUAAUAAGCUAUCUAGAUCCAUGAAUGUUAAAAUAGAUUUUUCUUUUGUAGACCCAGCAUUGUUCACUGAGGAUAGAUGUAGGAUCAGUUCCUUUCAGGUAUUAAUUGUAAUGUUGCUGAACAUAUUACCAUGAAUCUGUAGUAUCAAAAUUCAGAUAUAAAACUUGGGAGGAUUUAUAGUCCAACUUAUAGUAACUAAAUAAUAAAAUGGUGGCAUGAUUAUAGUUCAAUUUUUUUCUUUAUCAAGAGCUUAGGGUAACAAUGCUUUGUUUCUGUAUGUUGCACUUUUCAAUUACAGUAAAGUCUUUCCCUGAUAACAAAUAAUAUGGCAUGUGCAAUAAAGGGGAAAAGUGGAUAUGAGAACUUAUCCUUGCUGGUAUAUUUGAAAUGUGACAAAACAUUUUUUACAGUGAAUAUGUUCAAAUUGAAAAGAAAUGACAAUUUCCUUUAACUAAGUACUGGGUCACUAUUUCUUCCAACCUAGUUGUUUAAGAAACACUCAGCUACCAUAGAUUUGCUAGGCCAAAGUUUCUCAAACUUUAGCUGUGUCAGAAUUACUUGGAGGGUUUAUUGGAAUGCAUAUUGCUGGGCUUCAUGUUCAGGGUUUCUGAGAACUUGCGUUCCUAACAAGUUCUCCGGUGAUGCAGUAGUAUAGAGAGUCAUUGUUCUGGAGACAUGCUUAAUUUUAGGUACAACUUAUUUUGACUUGAGAACUUUCUCUUUAUUAAAAUAGCAAAGGCGGUGUAGAUAAAAAUAAAUAAAUUGUAUUCAUUUGGGUUUUCUAAUUUGCAACAGACCAAAUCAGCAUUACCACUGGAAAGAAUGACUUAGGAGAGUGGUUGUUUUAAUGAGAGAUUCUUUACAUGCCAUUGAAAGACAGGAAACCUUAAAAGAAAAACAAAACUGAUAAUCAACUCCUAAACGGGAAUUUGAAUUAGCUAAAAACUUUUUUGUCAAACGCCUACUACAAAGUCAGAGUUCAUUCUCCUAGACUGGCAAAUACUUUGUUAUCAAUAUUUGUUUAUAUUUUCCCAUAAUUAUCCUUAUUUCACCUGCCACAAAAGAAUUAAUCAUUUUAUGUCCUCAGUCUUCAGCCCUCCCUGAAGUACCCAAUAGCUCUUGUCCUUCUAUAUGUCAUCACCUAAGUGUAUUUUAAGACCCCACUAAUUCAAUAAUUUUAUUUAAACUUUGAUAGGAUUCUAUUAAACUUAAGGUAUAUUAUUAAUUAAACUAGAGGACAUCUACUAUAGUGAAUAAAUUAUCCAUGAUUUAAAAACAAAAUUCAAAGGUAGACAAGGCCACCUGCGGCCAUGGAGGCUGUGUAACUUCAGGAAGAACACUUACGAGUUAAUGAUAGGAAUGGCACUCUCUGGAAUUGUACAACCCAGUGUGCCUUAGUCAGAUAUAAUAGGCCAGAUUUAGCAAGACAGGCAUAAAGUUCUAGCCCUAACUUCAAAAUUCUACAGAAUGUGGGAGACAUGAAGUAAGAAUGGCACAUGGGACUUUUGGCUAUUAGUUGACCAUGAAUAGCUCAAUGUGAUUUCAAUAGUGAUAUGUAACUGCCCUCAAAAACUCUGAAGAGCUUAGAGUUUUAGCAGAGGAUGGUGUAUCUGUUAUGAGUGAGAUGAGAAGUCUCUCUCUUCGUGGCUGGUAGAAUGAAUCCAGAAUUGUCAACUUCAUAUAACUCUCACAAUAUCCUCAACCCGGCCUUAUUUUAGGUGAAACUAAUGCAUCACUUAUUUCUUUCAUUUACAAAGAAACUUAAGCUAAUAUCUACAUUCAGUAUAAUAAAUAAUACAGACCCUUCAACAGAAAAAAAACCCCCAGAAAUUAACAAACUGAAUUUCUUCAGUUAAUUGCAAUUUAAUUUUUGUGGACAAAUAUGUAUUGGUUUUGACAAUAAAAUAUGCCAAAAUACUGUAGUCUUUAAAAUUCCCAUGUGGAAAUAUGGCACCAUGAUUGUAGCUUCUGAAUGAAAAACAGAGUUUUCAGUAAUUUGUACUCUUCUGACUACAUAAUAUGGGAUGUUAGAAAGAAAUUCUUCUAAGUUGAAUACUGGAAAAAUCAUCAUCUGUUUCCUCUACUCAUCACUAGUAUACAAAGAAGGCCUUAAGCAGAUUUGCUGAUUAAUUUAUCGGUAUCUAAACACUUUGUUUUCUCUUAAUUCAGUGGAUGAGCUAUAGUACUGGAACAUUUAUAGUUAAACUUUGUUAUUUGGUUAUUGUCCUUAUAAAACCAACUUUUGCUGAUAAAACAUAUUAACACUUAUGGAUGCCUUAUAAAUCCAAUAAUACAGCUUUGAGAGCAUUUACUCUGUUUCCGACAAAUUUUAAUAAGUCUGGCCCAGCCUUUUCGACUGAAGCAAAUGUACAGACCUCUACACUUCAACAUGAAGACCUCCAGUUCAUAAUGUGCAUAUCCAAAGCACUGAUACUAAUGCUGUAUCCAGAGUUUUCAAUGGGGAGGGUAAUCUGUAAUAACAAAAUUGUAUCCCUUCCUUCCUGCAAUUACCUCACUAUCCUCACAGCCUUGACAUCUGGAAACCCACUGCUACUGUAGCAGCUGUGACUCCUCUCCUAGCAGGAAGUUAACUACACAUUCCAAAGAGCACCAAUUGUUUUGAUAUUUUCUGGCAGCUCAAAAAGCUUGGAUAUUGGUGAACACAUUAUUUUGUGGCAACCACAUUUUGGAAUUAUACACAAAUGUACAACAUGUCACAGUCUGAACAACUUACAGGUGUUAAUGUUGUCUUUCUCUUAAUGAUAUCAUAUUCCAAAUUUAAUCACUUUAAAUAUAGAGUAGUAUAUUAGAGAAUUAAACCUCAUUCUGCUCAUACUCACUUCUGCCAUCAUUUUCUCAAAUGAUCAGCACGGAAAAAGACUUACUAAAAAAUAUGCUCCUAUUUAAAUCCUUGGAAGAGAAUCAAUUAAUUUAAGUUAGAAAGUAAGUAUUGUGAGAAUCAUCCUGCCCUGUAUUUGCCCACAUAGCACCUCUGUUAUCAGAGAUUUUCAGAUACUUAUUCAUUUUCUAGAAAUCAAGACCUCCAAAAGAAGAGCAGAACUAUUAAAUGUUGGGCAAAUCCAGCUGCAUUUUAGCGUCACCAAAUGCCUAAAAUUAUUUUGUGUUUUUGAGCUGAUAAAUCUAUAUAUCGUUUAGUCAGAUUGCUCUUAUUCUUUAAAAAUAAUCAAAGGGAUGACUGCUGGAUUGAUAUACUGCAAAUUUAUCUUUGAAAUGGCUACAAAUAAUUGUUAUUCUCAUUUUAAGAGCAUUAGUGUCUUUUGUUAAUCAAAUUAAGAAUGAAAUGGAUUUUAGUACUGCCCUACAAUUACUUUUGUAAUCAAAAUGAUUGCCAAUGAUCUCCGAGAAACUAAACUGUCUUGCUACAGAACAGAUUGAGGAUUGCUUUGAUUCACAGAAAAGCUCUGGAAAAAUAUAAUUAAUUUUGAUUUAGUUUAUACUUUUAUUUUUAUUUCCGUUUUCCCUCUUCCCUACAUUUUUUUAAAAUAUGGCAAAGUUUUCCAUCGUAUAUUUUUAUUUGACCUAAUUUCCAAUUAAAUUUAAUAUUUCUCCUUGUUUAAUUAUUUCUUCUGGAAUUUUACACUCGUAGUGAUUAAAUCUCAAUCUCCUCUCUCUUAUUCUCUUUCUUUUUUCAUUCUCCUUUUCUAUCACACACAAUUUAAUAGUUCAUCUUAAGUGAUUUCUCAUGCCUUGUAUUCAGUGACUCUAAUUUCUGAUAUCCUCUUCUGGUUAAAAAUAUUUUUGCAAUGUAUUUAUAAUAUCUUUUCUAUUACACUGAUUCUGUGUAUGUUUAAGCAUUUGAUCACUUUUAUUCAAGAGUUCCUAUGAUAACCAGAAGAUACUGUGCAUUCUCAUAUUAUUUUAAUGCUCCAAUAUAUACUGCAGGCUUAAAUAACCAUAAAAGCAAUGUUUGUUUAGAAAGUGACUGGUUUGUUUACCUUCACUGCUGCAGAAAAUCUCACUAGGCAAUUUGCCUGGGGCUGAUACUUGUAACCAUUGGCAAUUAUGGAUUCUAGAAAUACCUUGAUAGGAAGUUUUUAAAAAGCUAUUUCAAAAUCAGACACAAAAAUACAACACAUUUUCUAGGAUUGUUUUUCUUGCCGUUCAGGCUGCUUGCCUUUCUUAUCUUAACUAAAAUUCACUUUUCAUCAGCCUGCAAUGAGUCACAAAAAAAUGCUGUAUCAAUCUUGGGUUGUUCCUGGACAUUCAUAGUCAGAUAAAUUAUUUUCAGAAUCAGCAAAGCAGAAUUAUUUUUAUAAAAUGGUGUCUUUACACAUCAUUGAUGUUUUGCAGAGGUCUGGACAAAACGCCAGUGAUGUACUUUUAACUGCCAAGGGAUCCACUUACACAAAUGAGACAUGGGCACACCAUUCUGCCAUCAGGGCGCUCAUCAUUUGACAUACAUAUUGGACUUUGCGGGAAACACAAAGAGAAUGCCUGGGACACUGUUCUCAUCCUCUAGAGUCUUUACUAAUAAUAUGUCAAAGUUGAGUAAUAAUAUACACUAAGUAAAAGCUUUUCAACAGAAGCAUCUCCAUUAGUCUCCACUUUGGGCCAGACAGCAAACUGAGCCUCUGUUUCUCUUAAGUACAAACUGAUCUCAAAUAUUUAGAACAAAGAAAGCACAUCCUUUCAGCUAAAAGUUACAGAUAUCCUUUGCUACAUGACAAAUGGUUGAAAUUAUCAAAUAUUUAUAACAAUAUGAUUGAAGAGUUCAGUUACAGGCUUUGGUUUUGACUGUUUGCUUGUUGAUCAGUGUUGUGCAGAAAUGCCCAAUAUGUUUGAAUUGCUUCACUUUGAGCAUGAUUUGUGCCAGAAAUAGAGCUGACUAAGCUGUUUUUUUUUUUUUUUUUCCUUUUUCUUACACAUUUAAAAAUCACUCUUUACUUUCCAAAGACCUCUUGGUCAGAAACUUGCGUUUAAGAAUUUUGUUAUGCCAUAAUAUAAUAAAAUGUAUAAAGCAGAAAAUAAAAUAAACGGAUGAUUUAUGCAUAAGACGUUUUGCCUUUAAGCUAUUCAAACUUGACUUUAGUGAAGUUUAUUAUCAAAAGUUUCUCACCUGAUAACAUAAAUUUUGACAGAAUGGAAAUGUUAGUUUUGGCCAAUAAACAUACAGCCUUUAAUCAUCCCAAAAGUUUCACCUAGGAAAGAAACUGGAAAUAGUUCUUAAGUCUAAUUAGAAUAGAGAGAUAAGUAACUUUUUUUUUUUUUUUUUUUUGAGGCGGAGUCUUGCUCUGUCGCCCAGGCCAGAGUGCAGUGGUGCUAUCUCUGCUCACUGCAAGCGCCGCCUCCCGGGUUCACGCCAUUCUCCUGCCUCAGCCUCCCGAGUAGCUGGGACUGCAGGCGCCCGUCACCUGCGCCCAGCUGAUUUUUUUGUAUUUUUAGUAGAGACGAGAUAAGUAACAUUUUUAAUACUAGAUUUAAUCUUAGCAAAAAUAUCUGUAUCUCUAACUCAAACUCACUAUCUACUUUUUAAAAAUAAUAUUGCUCAUCUUUUAAUAUAAAGGAGAAUCACCAUAUAAGCCAUUAAGAGCUAAAAUACACUAGGUGCUGGAAGCUAUCAUUGACAUACUGUCAUUCAAAAAUUAUAUAUGUAUUUGGCAUAAAUGUAAUAGUUCAUGUACAAUGAGCCAUCAAGACUAUGUGCAAAUCCCAACAACUGCUUCCUUUUUCUAGUUUUUUUUAAAGAAAUAAGACAUAAUGAAUGUAUUACGAGAAUCUCCCACACUGUAGCUUCCCCUUAAUAAUGUAAUAUAUACAUUUAAAAUUACAAUUUAAUGCUUAAAAAUUGUUAACAUUUCACAAUUUUUUAAAUUUGGAGACUUGAUCCGGAGAGCAUUGGGUGUGAUUCUGCAAAUCAUGCAGCAUAUAUUUUAUUACAGACUUUUAGCUGCUGAGGUUUCUUACAGAGGUCAAAUGUGUGUGUUUAUGUUCUGCUUAGUCUUAUGACAGAAUAUAUCACUAUUGUUUAAAAAGAAAAACAUAUAAAGAAGAGAACUACAAUGUUCUUAACUCCUAGCAUACAAAUGCCACUAAACUGUCCACAUCAAGACAUUUGAAGUUAGCAUCUCAUCAUUUUAAACCCAGAUGUGUGUAUUUUGGGCACAUUUUUUUGAGCACUACAUAAUCAUAAUGUAACCUAAAAUAACAAUGGAAGAAAACUAAGCUCUGCUUGAUAAAAUGCACUUUAUUUUACAUGGUGUUCACAGAAUGGCUUAGAUUUAAAAAAAUGAAUUCUGUCUUAGUUUAAGACAGAAGCACAAAGACAUUUCCCUUCUGGACAACAGACUUUGGCAUUGCAAGAUCAAAGGAACAAUUUUAUCUGCAUUGUGACUACAGACCAAAAGAUUUUACAGUAUUCCUGUCUCCGUGCUAAAGCCUAUGUGUCUUUAAUGGCAUUUAAAUUAUAGCCCUCUGUAGCCAUGCAGUCAAAACACCACAUCAUCUGAUGGGACACCAUGUUAUAUUCUGUCAGUAUGUCUCAUUUAAAAAUUCUUCUAUACUGUACUUGCCCUCAUUUUUCUCUUUUGGAAGAAAAUUUGAGUAAACUGCCUUUUUAACUAGGUUUAUGGGUUGAACUAAUCAAGAUAGACAAAGACAUACUUUGGCUUACAUUAUUUUAACUUAAUAAAUUUAAACCAACUUAAAGAUUUUUUUUCUUCUUUUCAUUCUUCCACAUUUUCGUUUGUUUGAUUUUAGGAUUUUCUUCUCUCUAAUGUAUCACAUGGCACAUGGCAUACUAUAGAGUUUUGUGACAUGAAAAAUAAAAAUGUGUUCCCAUCAGAAAAUUAUAGCUAGAGUAUCGCUUUUUCUAAGCAAAGUGUUUUAUGUUAAACUGAUUUAUAAUAGAAUGACUAUUAUAUAUAAAAGACAGGAGCUGUUCUCUGAAUUCUGCUAUAGCACAUAAUGCAGAUGGUGUGUUUCAAAUGUCACUGGAGAGACAAAUUUUCAUUUGAAUAUGUACUUCUAACGUGUUUAUUAUAGUAACUUAACAAUAAAAACUUGCUGAAAAUUAGCAUUUUACUCAGAAUAUUCCUGUACAUAUAAAAAUAAGAUGUUACAUUUUCUUGAUCUGCAGUCCAAUACUCACUCCUGAGCUGCACACCCUCCUAGAUGUUACAUUUUCUACAGAAGCAAUGAGCUUUUUCUCAAAAAUAGAUGUAAUCAGGAACACACAAUUAACCUACACUUUCCUGAUAUCCAAUAUUAUAUAUAUUGAUAAGUAGUUAUAGCCAUUUUAAAAAGUAAAACUCAUUUUUUUCAGGAGCAUAUGCUAGAUUAGUAACUGAUGGAUAACUUUGCUUUCAUGCUUCAGAAUACAACAGGGAGUUUCAUGCCUUUUUAAGAGUAGUUUUAAAUAACUUGAAAAUAUAAUGAAUUUUUAAAUCACAUGUUCAUUUUAAGAUUGAGAUGCAAUAUGCUUGUUGAGGAUAAGUGAUUUUAACAUGCCCAUCGGAGGCAUUUCUUUAAAGUGACAUUAUCUUAGAUAAAAUCAACUGAGAAUAUUUAUGAGGAUAUGUAUAUCUGUUUUGGAAAAAGCCAACCAUUACAAUAAACUGAUUCUGAUUUUGACUGACUUUUAUAACUAUUAUUUUUGUGUAGAAAAUCACAUCUUCUGUUUGCUACAUAUAGAGUAGAAAUAAAGGGGCCUACUGGAAACAUAACAGAUUUGAGGAGUUAAGUCUUUUUCUCAAUCUGGAAAUGCCAAGGAACCUUUGACAUAUUUUACUUAGCUGAGGAACCAGGUAAAAAAUGUAGAAUGUAUUUAUUGAGAAUGGGGAUAAUUUAUUAUAAGACUUUCUCAUUGAAUUAGGAUUGGAUGUCUCCAUACUUGGUGGACAUUUGAUAAGAAAUCAUUGUCAAAUAAGAAAUUAUUGUCAGAAUAUUAUGUGUCUAAGUGGGAACAUAUGAUGUAAUAUUUUCAUUAAAAUACUUUUUUUCUUAUUGGGAGCAAAAAACCAUAGUGGUUUUCAGAGGCAAAAGACUAGAGUAGAAAGAACACUUUUCUUUGUGUGGAAAAUAGUUAAUUUUAUAUCCCCAUUCUCUUCUACCCCACAACACUAGGAUAAUUCCCAGAACUGUUUCUGGAAAUAUAUUAUUUGAUAAAUACUAAAGAAUAUGUGCAAUAUAAUGAACACUUGUAAAUCUGCUAUCCAAUUUAAGAACUAGAGCAGCAUCAAAAUUGAUAAAGCAACCUCUGUACUUCUCUGCCUUCUCUCCCUCAGAGGUUACUAUUAUCAAAGCCUCCACAUACAGUUGUGCAGGUUGUGUACUUUACAAAUCUAGGGAAUGCCUACCCUUCCAUACAGUUCUGAUAUGAACGAUGCCCCUUAAAGUGUGCCGUGCAUCACCUACACAGAUUUUCACGAUGGUUCUCCAUCCUCCUGAAUUUCAGGGUUACCUUUUCAAAUGAAAGCUUAGCUUAGUUUGGGCUUUACAAAAAUGGUAACAUUUUAUACAUAUUCCUACUAUUACUGGCUUUUCUUCAGUCAAAAUAUGUUUCUAAUUGUCAUCUACAUUGUUGCAUAUAGUUUUAGGUUUAUUUUAUUCCUUGGGGUAUAGUAUUAAAUUAUGUAAGCAUUCUUAAUUUAUUUUUUGUUCUCUUUUUUGGACAUCUAAGUUGUUAUCUGCUUUGGAAUUAAGCAAGCUGUUGCAGCAAGUAUUCUUGUAUGCAUCUCUUGGAGCACAUGGUCAAUAAAUGCUCUAAAGUAUGUACUAGAAUAGAUAUUUCUGAGUCAUAGGUUUGUGGAUGGAUGAAGGGUAUAUAUGUGGAAGGUAAAACUUUAAAACUCUAAUGAAUAUAUGUGAAGCAUAUUAUGCUAUUAAUAUAAAACUAGACAAGCUUCCUUUUAAAAGACCUAAAUAUUUUCUAAUAUUAAAUACUUUCAUCACUUUUACAAGUAUUAUUUGUGCACAGGCAUCAAUUCUAUUUAUAAGUAGCUACUUGAGUGGUUUUAUAAAAUACCUGCCUUGCUAAAUCAAUCAACAACCAUUCUCCCCAAAUCUGUUAUCUAUAAGAGGAAGCAAAGCCAGAAUCCAUUUUGGUUAUCUUAAUAUUAAUUAAACAAAUUUAUUUUAAACUCAAGGAAUGGAGAUUAAAAUUAAAGGACUGAGCCAAUGCAAAAAUGACCCAUUUCAUUUUUCUUCCCAUACCCUUUUCAAACCACUUUGGGAAAUACUAAAUAUUAACACCAAACCUGAAGAUUAUAAUUACAAUCAUAAGUAUAAGAAAGUAGAGAAAUGUACAGAAAAUUACUAGAUAGAUUUUUUUUAUUGUGGUAAAAUGUACAUGACAUAAAUUUAACAAUUUUAACCAUUUUAAGUGUACAGUUCAGGGGCAUUAACUACAUUCACAUCAUUGUGCAAAAUCACCAUCAAUCAUCUCUACCUCUUCUAUUAUUUACCUUUUCAAACUAAAACUCUGUACUCAUUAUACAAUAACACCUAACACCUAUCCUGCCUCCUUCUAUCUCCUGUCAACCACCAUAUUACUUUCUGUCUUUAUACAUUUGACUACUCUAGUUAUUUCAUGUAAGUGAAACCAUGUAAUAUUUGUCUUUUCGUGACUGACUUAUUUCACUUAGCAUAAUGUCUUCAAGUUUCAUCCAUAUUGUAGCAGAAUAUUCUUCAUUAAGGCUGAGUAGUAUUCCAUUGUGUGUGUGUGUGUAUAUAUAAAAUCAUAAGAUAUUACAUAUAUAAUCAUAAGAUAUUUUAUAUAUGUAUAUCACAUUUUGUUUAUCCAGUCAACCAUUGAUGAACAGAGAGCAGUGGGUUGCUUCUACCUUCUGAUAAUUGUAAAUACUGUUUAUUUGAACAGAAGUAUACAAAUAUCUUUUUUAGUCUUUGCUUUCAAUUAUUUUUAGCUAUGAAGAUUUUUAAGAAGUCCCAUUAGUUUUCAUCCUGGGCAGUUGCCAUCCUAGGUGUUAAAAGAAAAUUCUGAGACUGGCCGGGCAUGGUGGCUUAUGCCUAUAAUCCCAGCAAUUUGAGAGGCUGAGGCAGGUGAAUCGCUUGAGCUCCAGCCUGGGAAACAUGACAAAACCCCAUCUCUACAAUAAAUACAAAAUACACCACAGGGCAUGGUGACAUGUGCCUGGAGUCCCAGUUACUCAGAAGGCUGAGGUGGGAGAAUCGCUUGAGCCCAUGAGACAGAGGUUGCAGUGAUCUGAGAUCGCACCACUGCUCUCCAGCUUGGGGAAUAGAGCUAGACCUUGUCUCAAAACAAAACAAAACAAAACAAAACA